CCUUGCCAGCCCGCUCAAGAACUCAAAGGAAUUGACGGGGCCCGCACAAGCGGUGGAGCAUGUGGUUUAAUUCGAUGAUACGCGAGGAACCUUACCUGGGCUCAAAUGUAUGUUGACGUAUUCUGAAAGGGAUACUUCUUCGGACAAUAUACAAGGUGCUGCAUGGUUGUCGUCAGCUCGUGCCGUGAGGUGUCGGGUUAAGUCCCAUAACGAGCGCAACCCCUACCUUUAGUUGCCAUCAGGUAAUGCUGGGGACUCUAAAGGAACUGCCUACGCAAGUAGUGAGGAAGGCGGGGAUGACGUCAAAUCAGCACGGCCCUUACGUCCAGGGCUACACACGUGCUACAAUGGCCGAUACAGAGGGCAGCUACCUGGUGACAGGAUGCAAAUCUCCAAAGUCGGUCUCAGUUCGGAUCGGAGUCUGCAACCCGACUCCGUGAAGUUGGAUUCGCUAGUAAUCGCGCAUCAGCCAUGGCGCGGUGAAUACGUUCCCGGGCCUU
Molecule: ribosomal RNA, 500 nt
Filed under: uncultured Sphingobacteriales bacterium
Lineage: Bacteria; Pseudomonadati; Bacteroidota; Sphingobacteriia; Sphingobacteriales
Description: bacterial SSU rRNA
Rfam family: Bacterial small subunit ribosomal RNA
Source: RNAcentral